CUGAACCAACCUUGGUAUGGUUACCUUUAUAUAUAUAUAUAUAUUCUCAUGGGUGUGAAAUGGCAUGUACAUUAACCAGAACUCAGUUAGGAAACCAGACAUGACACAAGGUAUUUUGGACAGGCAGAAUUUAGUGCAGGGAAUUGGGUGUGUAGGUUUCUGAUAGAACCAGAAAGGAAGGCGAGGUAACUCAGGGAUAGUAACUAUAGAAAGCCAGUCCUGUCCUUAGGGCUAGAGGAACAAAAGCAAAGGUAAAUGGGCAUUGGGACAGAGGAGUGCAGAGCCUGGUUCCUGCAGAGCUGGGGACCUUGGAAGGGGGCCAGCCAGCUGCUGUUAGUUUUUGGGGGGAGUGCGAGUAGGAUGAGGCUGCGAGGGGUGCAGAAGGAAAUUGGAGGCUGGAGCCAACUGCUGCGCCUGGGAUGAUGUUGGCAGGAAAGGAAGAAAUAGGAACUGAACCCCUUCUCUGCUCGCCUUCCAGUCUUCCUCAAGUGCCUCCUACGGUUGGAACCUCACAGGAAACCAGCUGGUCCCAAGUCUGGGAAGCGUCAUGUGUGGAGUCCUGGCCCUAGCAACGGCAGAACGGGGAAGGGUGGAUUCCAGCUGGGAGACAUGGGGAAAUAACCUGGAUAGCCACAUAUAUAGUCUAGGUUCUUUUUUUAUGGGUAGCUAUUUUAAAUGGUGCUCUACCAACAUCCUUGCACACACAUUUUCUUUAGAAUAAGUUUCUGGAAGCAGAAUUAUAGAGUCAGAGAAAAUGUGUAUAUUUAAGGCUUUUGGUCCAGGCUGAGAAAUUUGCUGGAGGAGUAAUUUUUGAAAGAAAGGGAGUCCCUCCCAGUGUGAUCCUGGAAACCACAUCAGAGAGCAGACAGCACUAGGGAAGGAAGGGUGUCCUUUUGCACUGAAGUGCACUUACCUGGGGACGACUUCCUGCACAUGGAAUGAGGACCAGAAGUUGUAAUUCUGACCAUCCUGUGUCCGAUGACCUUAAGCUUCUGCAUCAUUUAUAUGAAGGAUAUUAGCCUCUGAAUUCUAUAUAAGAGAUUUAUGUAUCUAUUGCCUGUUGACCACAGAAAAGCCACGGUGAGUUAUAAAGGGUCCCCACACAAGUAGAGCAGGUGAAGAUACAACUCUACAGUAUCAUGCAUGUAAUCUACCUCCCAGUGAUGGACUCUUACUCAGUAUUAAGUUAACCACGCAUGCAUCGGCUACCUUGGGCGUACAAGGACCAAGAGUGUGCAUGGGUCUGA
RNAcentral lists this long non-coding RNA (1247 nucleotides) under Marmota monax (woodchuck). Lineage: Eukaryota; Metazoa; Chordata; Mammalia; Rodentia; Sciuridae. The record is from RNAcentral.